GUGAUCCUCCCACCUCAGCCUCCUGAGUAGCUAGGACUACAGGUGCACGCCACCAUGCCCAGCUAAUUUUUAAAAUUUUUUUGUAGAGUCGGGGUCUCACUAUAUUGCCCAGGCUGGUCUCAAACUCCUGGCUCAAGCAAUCCGCCUGCCUUGGCCUCCUAAAGCGUUGGGAUUGCAGGUGUAAGCCACUGCACCUGGCCUAUAAUUUUCAUUUCUAGGAUUUUUAUUUGGUGCUUUUUCAAAGUCAUCUAUUAUUGUUCCAGUGAGUCCCAUUCUUACCUUAAGGAUCCUACUCCUUCUGUCCAUUCUACUGUAUCAUUCCUUUCAUACCGACCUAUUAUCUGAAGUAACUUGGGUGGGAGUUCUCCUCGUGGGCUUUGAAAUACUGUCUUCAGUAGAAAAGAUCUUAUGCAAAGUUCUGCAUGUGCUGUGUGUUAUGGAGUAUUCCUUAUAUAUUACUCAAAGCAGCUCCAUAAACUGGCAGGCAGCCCCUUAAAUGUGUUUCUGUUUCUGUUUUUUUGUUUUUUGGUCUGCAUGAUGUUUUAAAACUUGAGACAGGCCAGGUGCGGUGGCUUAUGCCUGUAAUCCCAGCACUUUGGGAGGCCAAGGUGGGAGGAUCACUUGAACCCGGGGGUUUGAGGCUAGCCUGGGCAACAUAGGGAGACCCCAUCUCUACAAAUAAUAAUUUUUAAAACAUCAGCCAGGUGUGGGGGCAUGCACCUCUGGUCCCAGCUACUCAGGAGGCUGAGGCAGGAGGAUUGCUUGAACCUGGGAGGUGGAGGCUGCAGUGAACCGUGGUUGUGCCACUGCACUCCAGCCUGGGUGACAGAGUGAGACCCUUACAUGGUGGCCACUGGCUGGAGCUGAGUAUCAGUGGUCCUAUUUAGAAAGGGGCUGGGCUUUCUGGUUCAUCACUGUCCCCGCCACUCCUUAGUGCUUAUACCUGGCCCACAUCACUCAUUUCUGUCAUCUGCCUGGCCCCUGUGUAGACGUUUGAGUUUGAAACCCUUGACUCAAAGGCGGGCUGAUGCUUUUUGCUUCCUCUGGAUCAAUGGAAUUUCAUCCAAGGCAAUGGAACCAGCUCCUAAUUGUGAUAACUUUUUGAUCAUCCCCUGCCGCUGUGCUGAAUAGGCUUAUGGCCAUUAAGAAGAGAGGACAGGAUGAAUGGUCCCCUGACUGACUGCCCUUCCAGGGUGUUUUUUUAGCUGUCAGCAGAAGCAUGCGGGGCAGUGUACCAAUCAGGUGUCAGCAAGUGUCCUUCCAGCGACUGAGUUGAGCACAAAAACAUCUGCUCCUGGAGAGACCUGAGCCCUCUGAAGGCCUCAGCCAGUUAUGAUGUUAAUGUUCUUUUAGAACAAAGUGGUAGAGCAUUUGUUGUCUGGAAUGAGCACCAGAAGAAAUCUCUGGCCAAAAAUAAAUUGUUGAGGGCCGGGAGCAGUGGCUUAUGCCUGUAAUCCCAACACUUUGGGAGGCCGAAGCAGGAGGAUCACCUGAGGUCAGGAGUUCGAGACCAGCCUGGCCAACAUGGUGAAACCCUGUCUCUCCUAAAAAUACAAAAAUUAGCUGGACGUGGUGACAGGUGCCUGUAAUACAGCUACUGGGAGGCUGAGGCAGGGAGAACUGCUUGAACCCGGAAGGUGGAGGUUGCAGUGAGCCGGGAUAGUGCCACUGCACUCCAGCCUAGAUAACAGAGCAAGACUCUGUCUCAAAAAACAACAACAACAACAACAAAACAAUUCUAUGACUGAAAGUGACUAAAAAGCUGGCUUUAUGCCAUUAACACUCUGUACUUUGCAGCCAAUCAGAACUGACGCAGUCUGGGUGCUAGCUGCUUCAAAAGCAACCCACACCACACUUUUACCAUUUCCAUACAUCAACUGCUGAGAAUAUGAAAAUGCACAGUGACAGGUUUUAGGAUCCUGCUUCAGGAUUUCCUUUUCCUGGUUUGGUCACUAGAGUUGGCUAUUUAUCUGUUUCUAAACAAUAGCUAUUUUAUCGAAUAGUUUAGAGACCACUAUUAAAUAUUGUGACUGAUGAAGGAUCUGUGAAUUUUUUUAUAUAUGUUCUAAGAGUUACCAUUUUGAUACCUUUUAAAAACCAGCAGCUUUCUACUAUAUUCAUGUAAGACAGCAUGAAUAAAACCAUUUUUUGAUACAGGGUUUUAUUUGGCUUUAAACUCAGGAACCAAGUUAAUUAUGCCAGAUUGAACUUUGAUUUUUACUACCUUUUCAAAGAUAUUUUAAAAAGUGGAUUACUACAUAUGAUUUCUUUGGAGCUUACAUUUCUUUACUUCACGAAUUCUAUGUCACUGUUACAAGUUUCCAUUCUGAUGGCUUCUGGGCCUUUGUACCUUUGUUUUUGGUGCCUUAUUCCUAGUAUGUUUCUAUCACCUUAAUGAGGCCGCAGAUGGAGUCAGAAUGUGAAAUUACAAAUAAUCACUGGAUCCAUCUACUGUUUUCCAUCACCUUCCCCACUGAUGCUCUGGGCGAGAGAGUGAUGUGUCACUUCAACUGUGUGUAAUAUGUCAGACACGUCCUACAAUAACAGGCGUCAUAUUUGUAUUAUUUUUAGUUUACUGUAGAAAAUAAUGUCACCGCCAAAGGUGAUGAGAGUCACGUUUUGUAGGAUCUGUUUUCUUAUACUUAAAGACAGACUUCUGCUACGGUAAUUGCCAGUAUUCAUGGCUUCCUUUCUGUGUCAGAAGAGAAGGGAUCUGCUUUCUCUUGGCUGAUUUCACAUAGCAUUGGUAAUAGACAUGCAUUUCUCUUUCUAAAGGGGAGUAACUUUUUAAACCCUUCCUGAUUUUAGCCUGGCAAUGUAAGUGUCCUUAAUGUGACUGUUUUGAUAAUUAAAAAAAGGUAUAUAAUUUAUUUAAAUCUU
RNAcentral lists this long non-coding RNA (2880 nucleotides) under Homo sapiens (human). RNAcentral describes it as "HSALNT0371018". Lineage: Eukaryota; Metazoa; Chordata; Mammalia; Primates; Hominidae. The record is from RNAcentral.